This 795-nucleotide ribosomal RNA is filed under the name Laparocerus subcalvus. Its description in RNAcentral is "eukaryotic LSU rRNA". It matches the Rfam family "Eukaryotic large subunit ribosomal RNA", at positions 394 to 954 of the family's 3401-position model. The record is from RNAcentral. Lineage: Eukaryota; Metazoa; Arthropoda; Insecta; Coleoptera; Curculionidae.
AGUACGUGAANCCGUUUAGGGGUAANCNUGAGAAACCCGAAAGGUCGAAGGGAGAAAUUCAUUCGCGUUUCGCCGUUGGCGUGAGACGGUCGUGUGACGGAAAACGUUCGCGCUUUCCGCACCUUUCGUUUUUCGAUCCGAUAGCGAACGCGUGCACUUUUCUCCUGGUAGGACGUCGCGAUCCGUUGGGUGUCGGUCUACGGCUCGCGGUGGAGCCCGGAUGUACGGCUUGCCGUCACGUCCGGACCCGUGUGUCCCGGCUGACUCGCUCGACGGUAUACGAAAGGUUUAAGGCCGCUCCUUGUGAGCGUUCGGCUCGUCGCAAGCGCGUCAGAUGUGUCGGUGAUCGGACCUAGUGCCGGUUCUGACCUCUGGCGACUGUUGGCGGCGAAGUUCUCGAACAGACUUUUGACCGAUCUGCGACGCUAUAGCUUUGGGUACUUUCAGGACCCGUCUUGAAACACGGACCAAGGAGUCUAGCAUGUGCGCAAGUCAUUGGGAAUCACUAAACCUAAAGGCGCAAUGAAAGUAAAGGUCCGCCUUGCGCGGACUGAGGGAAGACGAGCGGUUUACCCUUAAAAGUGGCCGCUCCGCAUUCCCGGGGCGUCUCAUUCUCAUCGCGAGAAGAGGCGCACCAAGAGCGUACACGCUGGGACCCGAAAGAUGGUGAACUAUGCCUGGUCAGGACGAAGUCAGGGGAAACCCUGAUGGAGGUCCGUAGCGAUUCUGACGUGCAAAUCGAUCGUCGGAACUGGGUAUAGGGGCGAAAGACUAAUCGAACCAUCUAGUAGCUGG